AGUGAACGCUGGCGGCAGGCCUAACACAUGCAAGUCGAACGGCAGCACAGGAGAGCUUGCUCUCUGGGUGGCGAGUGGCGGACGGGUGAGGAACACAUCGGAAUCUACCUUGUCGUGGGGGAUAACGUAGGGAAACUUACGCUAAUACCGCAUACGAACUAUGGUUGAAAGCGGCGGACCGCAAGGCGUCGCGCGAUUGGAUGAGCCGAUGUCCGAUUAGCUAGUUGGCGGGGUAAAGGCCCACCAAGGCGACGAUCGGUAGCUGGUCUGAGAGGAUGAUCAGCCACACUGGAACUGAGACACGGUCCAGACUCCUACGGGAGGCAGCAGUGGGGAAUAUUGGACAAUGGGGGCAACCCUGAUCCAGCCAUGCCGCGUGUGUGAAGAAGGCCUUCGGGUUGUAAAGCACUUUUGUUGGGGAAGAAAAGCGGUCGGUUAAUACCCGAUUGUUCUGACGGUACCCAAAGAAUAAGCACCGGCUAACUUCGUGCCAGCCGCCGCAGUAA
Molecule: ribosomal RNA, 506 nt
Filed under: uncultured bacterium
Lineage: Bacteria
Description: partial 16S ribosomal RNA
Rfam family: Bacterial small subunit ribosomal RNA
Source: RNAcentral